This 429-nucleotide ribosomal RNA is filed under the name Pseudomonadota bacterium. RNAcentral's name for it is "Proteobacteria bacterium partial 16S ribosomal RNA". It matches the Rfam family "Bacterial small subunit ribosomal RNA", at positions 355 to 776 of the family's 1533-position model. Lineage: Bacteria; Pseudomonadati; Pseudomonadota. The record is from RNAcentral.
UGGGGAAUAUUGGACAAUGGGCGAAAGCCUGAUCCAGCCAUGCCGCGUGUGUGAAGAAGGUCUUCGGAUUGUAAAGCACUUUAAGUUGGGAGGAAGGGCAGUAAGCGAAUACCUUGCUGUUUUGACGUUACCGACAGAAUAAGCACCGGCUAACUCUGUGCCAGCAGCCGCGGUAAUACAGAGGGUGCAAGCGUUAAUCGGAAUUACUGGGCGUAAAGCGCGCGUAGGUGGUUCGUUAAGUUGAAUGUGAAAGCCCCGGGCUCAACCUGGGAACUGCAUCCAAAACUGGCGAGCUAGAGUAGGGCAGAGGGUGGUGGAAUUUCCUGUGUAGCGGUGAAAUGCGUAGAUAUAGGAAGGAACACCAGUGGCGAAGGCGACCACCUGGGCUCAUACUGACACUGAGAUGCGAAAGCGUAGGGAGCAAACAGG